Molecule: long non-coding RNA, 498 nt
Organism: Osmia bicornis bicornis
Lineage: Eukaryota; Metazoa; Arthropoda; Insecta; Hymenoptera; Megachilidae
Exons: 3
Source: RefSeq, a predicted model, not a curated record
GUUCCCGAUAAGAGGCUGUGAAGAUGGAGACAAUCUUGAUCCUUCGACCGUUACCGAUUCUAAUCUGCGCGCAAUGUCAAUAACAGCUUCAAGUCAGAGAACAAGAUUUUCCAUCAAACUGAGGUAUCAAAUUCUUCACUAAAGAGAGACGAAGAUAUGACUCUGGAAGCGUACUAGAUGACUCUAUAGAGAUUGGAGUAUUUUUAGAAACAGCAGCAGCAACCACAGUUGAGGACAAAGAUCGGUAGUUGAUGCCCCGGGAGAUGAAGAAGAUUCUGCAUUUGAUGAAUUUAUGUUUAAUUCCUCUACCAGAAAUGUAUUUUCCCGCAGGCCGAUUUUGCGACUCCUUUUGGCGCGCAUGUACUUUAACUUAUACGGCGGCAUUUUGUCAAAUUAUUUCUAACGGUAAUUAUAAAAAUAAUACUCUAUAGUCCAAUUACUUAUAAGAUAGACUUACAGUUUGGUAAGGCGAUCGGCUAACGCUUCGCAAUAAAUCAC